Molecule: ribosomal RNA, 587 nt
Filed under: Aureobasidium pullulans
Lineage: Eukaryota; Fungi; Ascomycota; Dothideomycetes; Dothideales; Saccotheciaceae
Description: partial large subunit ribosomal RNA
Rfam family: Eukaryotic large subunit ribosomal RNA
Source: RNAcentral
GGAGGAAAAGAAACCAACAGGGAUUGCCCUAGUAACGGCGAGUGAAGCGGCAACAGCUCAAAUUUGAAAGCUGGCCUUCGGGUCCGCAUUGUAAUUUGUAGAGGAUGCUUUGGGUGAAACGCCAGUCUAAGUUCCUUGGAACAGGACGUCAUAGAGGGUGAGAAUCCCGUAUGUGACUGGAAAUGUUAACCUAUGUAAAGCUCCUUCGACGAGUCGAGUUGUUUGGGAAUGCAGCUCUAAAUGGGAGGUAAAUUUCUUCUAAAGCUAAAUAUUGGCGAGAGACCGAUAGCGCACAAGUAGAGUGAUCGAAAGAUGAAAAGCACUUUGGAAAGAGAGUUAAAAAGCACGUGAAAUUGUUGAAAGGGAAGCGCUUGCAAUCAGACUUGUUUAAACUGUUCGGCCGGUCUUCUGACCGGUUUACUCAGUUUGGACAGGCCAGCAUCAGUUUCGGCGGCCGGAUAAAGGCUCUGGGAAUGUGGCCUUCACUUCGGUGAAGGUGUUAUAGCCCAGGGUGUAAUACGGCCAGCCGGGACUGAGGUCCGCGCUUCGGCUAGGAUGCUGGCGUAAUGGUUGUAAGCGACCCGUCU